GAUUUAUUGCACAAUGGGCNCAAGNCNUGAUGCAGCGACGCCCGCGUGGGGGAUGAAGGCCUUCGGGUUGUAAACCCCUUUCAGUAGGGAAGAAGCGAAAGUGACGGUACCUACAGAAGAAGCGCCGGCUAGCUACGUGCCAGCAGCCGCGGUAAUACGUAGGGCGCAAGCGUUGUCCGGAAUUAUUGGGCGUAAAGAGCUCGUAGGCGGUCUGUCGCGUCUGCUGUGAAAACCCGAGGCUCAACCUCGGNCCUGCAGUGGGUACGGCCAGACUAGAGUGUGGUAGGGGAGACUGGAAUUCCUGGUGUAGCGGUGGANUGCNCAGAUNUCAGGAGGAACACCAAUGGCGAAGGCNGNUCUCUGGNCCACAACUGACGCUGAGGAGCNAANGCGUGGGGGAGCAAACAGNAUUAGAUNCCNUGGUAGUCNANGGNCNAU
Molecule: ribosomal RNA, 438 nt
Filed under: uncultured bacterium
Lineage: Bacteria
Description: partial 16S ribosomal RNA
Rfam family: Bacterial small subunit ribosomal RNA
Source: RNAcentral